AUACGGAGGAUCCGAGCGUUAUCCGGAUUUAUUGGGUUUAAAGGGAGCGUAGGUGGAUUGUUAAGUCAGUUGUGAAAGUUUGCGGCUCAACCGUAAAAUUGCAGUUGAAACUGGCAGUCUUGAGUACAGUAGAGGAGGGCGGAAUUCGUGGUGUAGCGGUGAAAUGCUUUGAUAUCACGAAGAACUCCGAUUGCGAAGGCAGCUCACUAGACUGCAACUGACACUGAUGCUCGAAAGUGUGGGUAUCAAACAGGAUUAGAUACCCUGGUAGUCCACACAGUAAACGAUGAAUACUCGCUGUUUGCGAUAUACAGUAAGCGGCCAAGCGAAAGCAUUAAGUAUUCCACCUGGGGAGUACGCCGGCAACGGUGAAACUCAAAUGAAUUGACGGGG
RNAcentral lists this ribosomal RNA (393 nucleotides) under uncultured bacterium. Its description in RNAcentral is "partial 16S ribosomal RNA". It matches the Rfam family "Bacterial small subunit ribosomal RNA", at positions 523 to 918 of the family's 1533-position model. The record is from RNAcentral.